ACGGGGCGCCAAGGCGCGAAAACUUUACAAUGCUGGCAACAGCGAUAAGGGAACCUCGAGUGCCAGGUUACAAAUCUGGCUGUCGAGAUGCCUAAAAAGCAUUUCAUAGCAAGGGCCGGGCAAGACCGGUGCCAGCCGCCGCGGUAACACCGGCGGCUCGAGUGGUAACCGUUAUUAUUGGGUCUAAAGGGUCUGUAGCCGGCCGGAUAAGUCUCUUGAGAAAUCUGGCAGCUUAACUGUCAGGCUUUCAGGAGAUACUGUCUGGCUCGAGGCCGGGAGAGGUGAGAGGUACUUCAGGGGUAGGGGUGAAAUCUUGUAAUCCUUGAAGGACCACCAGUGGCGAAGGCGUCUCACCAGAACGGACCUGACGGCAAGGGACGAAAGCUAGGGGCACGAACCGGAUUAGAUACCCGGGUAGUCCUAGCCGUAAACGAUACUCGCUAGGUGUCGGCCACGGUGCGACCGUUGUCGGUGCCGUAGGGAAGCCGUGAAGCGAGCCACCUGGGAAGUACGGCCGCAAGGCUGAAACUUAAAGGAAUUGGCGGGGGAGCACCACAACGGGUGGAGCUUGCGGUUUAAUUGGAUUCAACGCCGGAAAUCUUACCGGGACCGACAGCAAUAUGAAGGCCAGGCUGAAGACUUUGCCGGAUUAGCUGAGAGGUGGUGCAUGGCCGUCGUCAGUUCGUACUGUGAAGCAUCCUGUUAAGUCAGGCAACGAGCGAGACCCACGCCCACAGUUGCCAGCGUACUCUCCGGAGUGACGGGUACACUGUGGGGACCGCCGCUGCUAAAGCGGAGGAAGGAAUGGGCAACGGUAGGUCAGUAUGCCCCGAAUAUCCCGGGCUACACGCGAGCUACAAUGGUUGGUACAAUGGGUAUCUACCCCGAAAGGGGACGGAAAUCUCCUAAAACCAAUCUUAGUUCGGAUUGAGGGCUGCAACUCGCCCUCAUGAAGCUGGAAUCCGUAGUAAUCGCGUUUCAACAGAACGCGGUGAAUACGUCCCUGCUCCUUGUACACACCGCCCGUCA
Molecule: ribosomal RNA, 1029 nt
Filed under: uncultured Methanosarcina sp.
Lineage: Archaea; Methanobacteriati; Methanobacteriota; Methanomicrobia; Methanosarcinales; Methanosarcinaceae
Description: bacterial SSU rRNA
Rfam family: Archaeal small subunit ribosomal RNA
Source: RNAcentral